UUUUUGUUGUGAUUUUUGUUAGCGGUGUUCUUGUUUUUGUUGUGAUAUGCUAUAAUUGUGUUGCUUUUAUUGUUUAUGUUAUUGUAUUUGGUGCAUUUUAUUACUUUGUUAGUUAAUGCAGCUUGUAUUGCUGUAAAUAUCUUUUAAUUAUUAUAGCAUUGGUAAUAUUGCCAUUUUCAUUGCUGGUGUUUUUGUUUUCCAUUAUCAAUAAAAAUAUUAUGUUGUUGUCCUGUUUAGUGGUGAUUUUGGGAGGAGUUUGAGUU
This 263-nucleotide long non-coding RNA is filed under the name Amborella trichopoda. RNAcentral's name for it is "long non-coding RNA (ATRI_LNC004994)". The record is from RNAcentral. Lineage: Eukaryota; Viridiplantae; Streptophyta; Magnoliopsida; Amborellales; Amborellaceae.